UACGUAGGGGGCGAGCGUUAUCCGGAUUUACUGGGUGUAAAGGGAGCGUAGACGGCGAUGCAAGCCAGAUGUGAAAGCCCGGGGCUCAACCCCGGGACUGCAUUUGGAACUGUGUGGCUGGAGUGUCGGAGAGGCAAGUGGAAUUCCUAGUGUAGCGGUGAAAUGCGUAGAUAUUAGGAGGAACACCAGUGGCGAAGGCGGCUUGCUGGACGAUGACUGACGUUGAGGCUCGAAAGCGUGGGGAGCAAACAGG
Molecule: ribosomal RNA, 253 nt
Filed under: uncultured bacterium
Lineage: Bacteria
Description: partial 16S ribosomal RNA
Rfam family: Bacterial small subunit ribosomal RNA
Source: RNAcentral